This 342-nucleotide ribosomal RNA is filed under the name uncultured bacterium. Its description in RNAcentral is "bacterial SSU rRNA". It matches the Rfam family "Bacterial small subunit ribosomal RNA", at positions 553 to 896 of the family's 1533-position model. The record is from RNAcentral.
UCUGGGCGUAAGCGUGCGCAGGCGGUUAUGUAAGACAGAUGUGAAAUCCCCGGGCUCAACCUGGGAACUGCAUUUGUGACUGCAUGGCUAGAGUGCGGCAGAGGGGGAUGGAAUUCCGCGUGUAGCAGUGAAAUGCGUAGAUAUGCGGAGGAACACCGAUGGCGAAGGCAGCCCCCUGGACUGGUACUGACGCUCAUGCACGAAAGCGUGGGGAGCAAACAGGAUUAGAUACCCUGGUAGUCCACGCCCUAAACGAUGUCAACUGGUUGUUGGGGAUUAUUUUUCUCAGUAACGAAGCUAACGCGUGAAGUUGACCGCCUGGGGAGUACGGCCGCAAGGUUG